This 441-nucleotide ribosomal RNA is filed under the name uncultured bacterium. RNAcentral's name for it is "partial 16S ribosomal RNA". It matches the Rfam family "Bacterial small subunit ribosomal RNA", at positions 339 to 795 of the family's 1533-position model. The record is from RNAcentral.
CUACGGGAGGCAGCAGUGGGGAAUAUUGGGCAAUGGGCGCAAGCCUGACCCAGCAACGCCGCGUGAGGGAAGAAGGUUUUCGGAUUGUAAACCUCUGUCCUUGGGGACGAAGAAGUGACGGUACCCAAGGAGGAAGCUCCGGCUAACUACGUGCCAGCAGCCGCGGUAAUACGUAGGGAGCGAGCGUUGUCCGGAAUUACUGGGCGGAAAGGGUGCGUAGGCGGCAUAUUAAGUCAGGUGUGAAAUACCCGGGCUCAACCCGGGGGGUGCAUUUGAAACUGAUCCGCUUGAGUGUGAGAGAGGAAAGUGGAAUUCCUAGUGUAGCGGUGAAAUGCGUAGAUAUUAGGAGGAACACCAGUGGCGAAGGCGACUUUCUGGCUCAUAACUGAGGCUGAGGCACGAAAGCGUGGGGAGCAAACAGGAUUAGAUACCCCCGUAGUC